GCCAGUGUAGUUCAGUUGGUAGAACGCGGGUUUUGUAAUCCCGAUGCCUUUAUGGAUUUCGCAUGUUCAAGUCAUGUCACUGGCUCCA
Molecule: transfer RNA, 88 nt
Filed under: Streptococcus sp.
Lineage: Bacteria; Bacillati; Bacillota; Bacilli; Lactobacillales; Streptococcaceae
Also listed under: 3 other names
Description: tRNA-Thr
Rfam family: tRNA
About the family: Transfer RNA (tRNA) molecules are approximately 80 nucleotides in length. Their secondary structure includes four short double-helical elements and three loops (D, anti-codon, and T loops). Further hydrogen bonds mediate the characteristic L-shaped molecular structure. tRNAs have two regions of fundamental functional importance: the anti-codon, which is responsible for specific mRNA codon recognition, and the 3' end, to which the tRNAs corresponding amino acid is attached (by aminoacyl-tRNA synthetases). tRNAs cope with the degeneracy of the genetic code in two manners: having more than one tRNA (with a specific anti-codon) for a particular amino acid; and 'wobble' base-pairing, i.e. permitting non-standard base-pairing at the 3rd anti-codon position.
Source: RNAcentral